RNAcentral lists this ribosomal RNA (718 nucleotides) under Klebsiella pneumoniae. Its description in RNAcentral is "partial 23S ribosomal RNA". It matches the Rfam family "Bacterial large subunit ribosomal RNA", at positions 2106 to 2823 of the family's 2925-position model. Lineage: Bacteria; Pseudomonadati; Pseudomonadota; Gammaproteobacteria; Enterobacterales; Enterobacteriaceae. The record is from RNAcentral.
AUAGCUUGACACUGAACAUUGAGCCUUGAUGUGUAGGAUAGGUGGGAGGCUUUGAAGCGUGGACGCCAGUCUGCGUGGAGCCAACCUUGAAAUACCACCCUUUAAUGUUUGAUGUUCUAACGUUGGCCCCUUACCGGGGUUGCGGACAGUGUCUGGUGGGUAGUUUGACUGGGGCGGUCUCCUCCCAAAGCGUAACGGAGGAGCACGAAGGUUAGCUAAUCCUGGUCGGACAUCAGGAGGUUAGUGCAAUGGCAUAAGCUAGCUUGACUGCGAGCGUGACGGCGCGAGCAGGUGCGAAAGCAGGUCAUAGUGAUCCGGUGGUUCUGAAUGGAAGGGCCAUCGCUCAACGGAUAAAAGGUACUCCGGGGAUAACAGGCUGAUACCGCCCAAGAGUUCAUAUCGACGGCGGUGUUUGGCACCUCGAUGUCGGCUCAUCACAUCCUGGGGCUGAAGUAGGUCCCAAGGGUAUGGCUGUUCGCCAUUUAAAGUGGUACGCGAGCUGGGUUUAGAACGUCGUGAGACAGUUCGGUCCCUAUCUGCCGUGGGCGCUGGAGAAUUGAGGGGGGCUGCUCCUAGUACGAGAGGACCGGAGUGGACGCAUCACUGGUGUUCGGGUUGUCAUGCCAAUGGCACUGCCCGGUAGCUAAAUGCGGAAGAGAUAAGUGCUGAAAGCAUCUAAGCACGAAACUUGCCCCGAGAUGAGUUCUCCCUGAGACUU